UACGAAGGGGGCUAGCGUUGCUCGGAAUCACUGGGCGUAAAGCGCACGUAGGCGGCUUCUUAAGUCAGGGGUGAAAUCCUGGAGCUCAACUCCAGAACUGCCCUUGAUACUGAGGAGCUCGAGUCCGGAAGAGGUGAGUGGAACUGCGAGUGUAGAGGUGAAAUUCGUAGAUAUUCGCAAGAACACCAGUGGCGAAGGCGGCUCACUGGUCCGGUACUGACGCUGAGGCGCGAAAGCCAGGGGAGCAAACGGG
RNAcentral lists this ribosomal RNA (253 nucleotides) under uncultured bacterium. Its description in RNAcentral is "partial 16S ribosomal RNA". It matches the Rfam family "Bacterial small subunit ribosomal RNA", at positions 524 to 776 of the family's 1533-position model. The record is from RNAcentral.